GGUGGCCGGGCGGCGGACGGACGGCAGUCUGCGGCGAGCUCGGUCGCUGGAAGCCGCGCCGCUGUCGGAAGAGGCGGCCGACCGAGCGGGCCAGCAGGCCACUCCGACCAGCCGAGUCGAGAGGAGAACCUCUGCCGCGCUGAGAGGAGAGCUCCAGCGGGACCAAGCAGAGAACAUUCCAUCCGCCUCUGCACCAAAAGGUGCGCCACCAUCCGCUCGCCAUGCUCCGCGCUCUGGUUGCUGUGGGCCUGGGCUGCUCGCUGAUCUGCAGUGUCAUUGGUGCCGAGUUUCGCUACCAACUGCUCAAUGACAUCCAGCCACUGGACGAUUUGCCGCCGAGCGCCUAUCUUGACGAGGACAACUACCUUAGAGAUCCUGAACGAAUGAUAAGGGUCAGGAAGGCAGCGGGCAACUGUUACGCUCAGGGCAAGUGUCUCUACUACAGCAAGCGUAUGAAGGGCGAGUUCUGUGGCACUUGCGGCAAACGCGGCAGCUGCUUCCCAGGAAGCGCUACGGUGCUGAAGGAAACCGGCGAGGUCACUCCGAUGACGAACCUUCGGGUCAACGAUAGGGUGCUCGCGGCGAGCCGCUCUGGAGAGCUCACCUUCAGUCCGGUGGUGACCUGGCUGGACAAGCGCUCUAACGACACCACUCAGUACCUGGAGCUGUCCACAGAGACGGGCCACCGGCUCCGGCUGUCUCCCAACCACGUGCUGCUCGUCAACGAGCAACAGGAGCUCGUCUCCCGUUUUGCCUCGGACAUCUGUCCCGGAGACCUGCUGAAGGUGGCCGACUCUGACUCCGACUCAGAGUCAUCCUGGUCGCCGGUGACCGACGUUCGUCCCCUGGUCGAUACUGGAGCGUUCGUGCCGCUGACCGCUGAGGGGACGAUCGUGGUGGACGGUGUGCUGGCCUCGUGUUACGCCUCGUUCGACCACGACUGGGCCCACCUGCUGACUACGCCGGUUCGCUGGUUCCCCUGGCUGUUCGAGGGGGAGGAGGAGAGGGAGGCCGACGGACCCAGAGCUGCUGUGGAACAGCUGAAGGAGGUGGGUCGCUGGCUCUUCCCCGAGCCCGGCUCUAAGAACCGCGCCGCGCCGGACGACACCGUCAUCCAGCUGACGGACAAUGACGCCGGCGUCAUCCGCCUGCCGCUGAUGGCGUCCCUCGCGGCCAACAGUCAGUAGAGACGUCCGAUCAGGGAGCACCGCCGGGGUUAAAGGACCCUCGCGGCUGGUUAGAUCCGACAAGAACCAAUCCGACCCGGCCGCAACUUAGUUAAUCUAGUGUCACCUGGCUCUCUGUGCUGUGAGGCUUGAUUUUGGUUAAAAUUCAGUUAGUUGGAGCCAGUGGUGUGCUGGAAGAUGCCAUGGACGGUGUGCAAAUUAUGCUAAAACAUUUAAAUUGGCGGAGUCUGGACUCAGUUUGAGAAACACUAUGUCAGAAGGGACGAGCGUACUUCCUCAGAGACAGUCAAAUGAAUGACAAAAGUCACGUGAAUACCCAAACGAGCCCCAAACCAAAUGAAGAUAGCGAACGUCCAGGGCAUCUUGCUGCACACCGAUUGGUCCCUAGUGUCACCCAAUGAGCGUUUGUCGGCCGGUGACCUCUGGCUGACCUCUGACCCCUGAGCGCGCCCAUCUGGCCGGACGCCGGCCGGCUCGGCCGAGGCUGUCGACGAUGCCAGCAGAUCACCGCCAAUGGCCAAACUGUCGUAAACGCUGCCCAAUAUCCGGCUCAAGUUGAGCGGCCGCCGCCGUCUGCCCAUUCCGCUAGACGGUCGGAGAGCGGCCGGUUCUCCGUGACGUCCGAGUUUGGUGAUCCUCGUCGUUCAGCCGACCGGCGUCUGUCGUUGUUGUUGAUGCCCCCCCGAUUCGAGCGCGGCAGUGGCGGCCGGCCGGCCCGUCCCCCUGAACCGAGACGUGACCUCUGCCUGACCCUGACCGGGUCACGUCUCCGGACGGCCCAGCGCUGGGCGUCCGACCGGGCCGACCUGUCCCCGAGGAUAUCGCCGCUACAACUACCCAUCGGGUGGCUCUUGACUCCCGGGGAGUCGUCAACAACCAGAGGUGUGGUGAGGCUCAAACCGCUUGCAGCUUGCUAAGUUCGGAGCCAUUGAGCUCAUUUAUAGCCAAGUUUCCUUUGUGAUCAAUAGGCGAAGUUGGUCCCGCUUACCCUGCUUUCAGAUUUGUUGACCAUUUUUCGGAGUGACGGCGUCACGCGAGUUGAAUUCUGUGACCUGCCGACCCCCUCGUAACUGUCGGUCCCUCGCAGCUAGCGCUACAGCGCUAAUGAACAGAGUUGGUCGGUACACCUGGCUGCCACGCAACAGCAACGCCCACACCCACUGAAAACGGGGCUCGGAUGCCUGGAACAGUAUCGACGAAUAUAGCAACACUAAAAUAGACUAAUAGUCAAUAGCAGACUUUUCAACACAAGUCUGGAACGAUCUCUCGUAGAUUCGUCGAUUCUGUUUCACGCUCCCGACCUCGGCGAUGAAGAGAUUCGUGAAGGAUUGUCUGCGUCGCGAGCUGCGAGCUGUGUAAAGUCUCGAAGGACAGUGUCAGAAAGCGUCAGCCCGUGCCAGCCGAGUGCGCUAGAGUGCGGGCUGACUCUCGUGUUGUGUGUGAAACGCGACAUAUCAUUUCGAGCAUAUCAGCUAACGUUAGCGGUCUCUGGGCCAGCGAACUGUAGCAUGCUACAGUCUCUCAUAGCCAUGCUGUCGCUAUAGUACAGUUAAACAUAUCAGAUGUGUGAUAUAUUCUCGAUGAGUGGCGCCUCUUAGACAUAGUUAUGCAUACUCGCUAGUUUUAAAGUGGCCCAUUAGGGUGCGACAGAAAAGGUUACAUAUUUUACUCGUGGCAUUCGGUAAGACGAGAAGUCUUUGAUUGAAACCAGUUUUCAUUGUGCAUUUUGAACACUACGGUUCCUGUGAUCGUCUGAUAGGUAUCGACUACAGUCGUUAGGUGCUGCAUAUUUGCUCUCUUACAAGACAAGACCAGCAGAUUAUAUUGUUUGUGGCGUAUUUGGCGUUUUCAAAUAUACGGGCAACACAUCUCU
Molecule: unclassified non-coding RNA, 3060 nt
Filed under: Amphibalanus amphitrite
Lineage: Eukaryota; Metazoa; Arthropoda; Thecostraca; Balanomorpha; Balanidae
Description: tiggy-winkle hedgehog protein-like, transcript variant X1
Source: RNAcentral